GACGAACGCUGGCGGCGUGCUUAACACAUGCAAGUCGAACGGAAAGGCCCUGCUUUUGUGGGGUGCUCGAGUGGCGAACGGGUGAGUAACACGUGAGUAACCUGCCCUUGACUUUGGGAUAACUUCAGGAAGCUGGGGCUAAUACCGGAUAGGAGCUCCUGCUGCAUGGUGGGGGUUGGAAAGUUUCGGCGGUUGGGGAUGGACUCGCGGCUUAUCAGCUUGUUGGUGGGGUAGUGGCUUACCAAGGCUUUGACGGGUAGCCGGCCUGAGAGGGUGACCGGCCACAUUGGGACUGAGAGACGGCCCAGACUCCUACGGGAGGCAGCAGUGGGGAAUAUUGCACAAGGGGCGGAAGCCUGAUGCAGCAACGCCGCGUGCGGGAUGACGGCCUUCGGGUUGUAAACCGCUUUCGCCUGUGACGAAGCGUGAGGGACGGUAAUGGGUAAAGAAGCACCGGCUAACUACGU
Molecule: ribosomal RNA, 467 nt
Filed under: uncultured bacterium
Lineage: Bacteria
Description: partial 16S ribosomal RNA
Rfam family: Bacterial small subunit ribosomal RNA
Source: RNAcentral